Molecule: microRNA precursor, 71 nt
Filed under: Mus pahari (shrew mouse)
Lineage: Eukaryota; Metazoa; Chordata; Mammalia; Rodentia; Muridae
Description: miRNA (MGP_PahariEiJ_G0007032.1)
Source: RNAcentral
CAGCAGGGUGGGAGGGAGAUGCUUGGGGUCAGGAGGGCAUCUUAGUAGUAUCUCCUAUCCUCCCACCUGGG